RNAcentral lists this small nuclear RNA (30 nucleotides) under Arabidopsis thaliana (thale cress). RNAcentral describes it as "snRNA_05218". Lineage: Eukaryota; Viridiplantae; Streptophyta; Magnoliopsida; Brassicales; Brassicaceae. The record is from RNAcentral.
UUACCACCGAGCGGCGGGUAGAAUCCUUUG